CCCCGCCCCUCCCGCGGCUGGCCCUGGGAAAAGAGCCUCGGCCGAAAGGCGGGACCGCCGGACGGAAGGGGCGUGGAAUCCUACGGAAGGGGCGGGACCGGAAAGUGGGGGGGCGCCUGGGUCAGGCCUAACGGGUUGUCUUUGACUACAGUGAUUACAAAUCUCUACAGAAGUAUACACAUUGGUAUAAAUUGCUGCAGCCCCUUUGGGAAACUAUUUGCAUGAUCAUUGCACUUAAAAAUACACCAUACUGCUGCGCAAGUUCAAGGACCCGAGUUCGAUCCCCGGUACAAAAAAAACAAAAAAUAAAAAUACACCAUAAACUAGCGCUGUGGCAAUAGCCUGUAGACUCAGCUACUCUGGAAGCUGAGGCAGGAGGAGGCUUGAGUGCAAGCAUUGGAGGACAACCUCACAAUUGGAGGCAACAUAUCAAGAUCUUGUCUCAGAGGGGAGAAAAAGCACUGUUAUUCCUGUUCCCAGAAGAGAGUGAACAAAAAGAAGCCACCUUGUACUACCAAGAAAACACAGUCAUGUCCCUGCUGGCCUCUUUCUUGUACGCUGAACACCUGUGAGAGAACCUAGAGACCCUGGAUGGUUUGACUACCUCAGUCACCAGCUACUUUGUGUGCAUCUGUGUAUCUGCGUGUGUAUGAUCCUGGCCACACAGCAUGCAGAUGGAGUCCAUGCUGUUGCACAAGACUAAGCAAGGAAUGGCUCCUAGCUAUGUUCAAGCCCCUCUUUUUCCCCGAGGGAGGGAAAUUCAUAGCAGCUGCUGCCUGUGAUGAUGCUGAAGUAGACCAAUUCAGUACAAAGACACAUGAAAAACCAGAUUUGCAAGUUGUGAAGGAAGUAAAAAAUGAAUCAUCAGAAUCCUCAUCCAUGGAUGAUGAAGAUAGUCCAUUAUGAUAAAAUACAUGUUUUCAUAACAGAAGAGUGGUGUGGAUGGAUGAUGAUGAUGAUAACUUUGACAUUGGCCAUGUGAGCCGAAGUUCCUGAGACAGUGAAAUGGAGCAAAAAUCAACUGAUACAGACAAAGGAAUGGAGACUUCCUUGAUUCAGAUGAGGAAGAAAACAGCAAUUAAAAAAGAAGAUAAGAUGAAGGAGAAGAAGAUGAG
Molecule: long non-coding RNA, 1115 nt
Filed under: Heterocephalus glaber (naked mole-rat)
Lineage: Eukaryota; Metazoa; Chordata; Mammalia; Rodentia; Bathyergidae
Description: lncRNA (ENSHGLG00100028041.2)
Source: RNAcentral